CAGCAGCCACGGGAAAACGAAGGGUGCAAGCGUUAAUCGGAAUUACUGGGCGUAAAGCGCGCGUAGGUGGUUUGGUAAGAUGGAUGUGAAAUCCCCGGGCUCAACCUGGGAACUGCAUCCAUAACUGCCUGACUAGAGUACGGUAGAGGGUGGUGGAAUUUCCUGUGUAGCGGUGAAAUGCGUAGAUAUAGGAAGGAACACCAGUGGCGAAGGCGACCACCUGGACUGAUACUGACACUGAGGUGCGAAAGCGUGGGGAGCAAACAGGAUUAGAGACCCCGGUAGUCCCUGUCUCUUAUAA
Molecule: ribosomal RNA, 301 nt
Filed under: uncultured bacterium
Lineage: Bacteria
Description: partial 16S ribosomal RNA
Rfam family: Bacterial small subunit ribosomal RNA
Source: RNAcentral